RNAcentral lists this small RNA (1524 nucleotides) under Pan troglodytes (chimpanzee). Its description in RNAcentral is "retained intron". Lineage: Eukaryota; Metazoa; Chordata; Mammalia; Primates; Hominidae. The record is from RNAcentral.
UUUAAUUGAUGCUAACCAUAGUGAUGGGAGAUACUUGCUUAUACAGGAGAACAUAAUUUAUUAUCUUAUUUUAAAAUAAACAUUACACUAAAACCCCACAUCAUUUCAAGAAAUGUGGGCAAUAGUAGUUAUUUUAUUAUUAUACGUAACUUUUAAAAAUAACAAGAUAGACAAAAUGUUUGAGCUACAUGCACAUGAAAAGUGAAAUUUACAAAAAGCUUAAGAAAUGGAUCCAAAAGUAUAUUUAAGCACUUCCUCUGAAACCCUCAUAACUAACAAAAUAUGAAAAAACAAUAAAUGUGGUUUAUAAACCAGAAAGCUUAAAAAAUCUCUUCUAAUGCUAUUUUUAUUAAAAAUGUUUACUCAUUAAUAUUUUAAUUGGAACUUUGCAUCAUCUCAGGUAGAACGUGAGUCUCCUGUCACUAUAUUUAAACAAGAAUGUCCUAAAAGAUUGUCUAUUUUCUGAAAAUAGCCUCUGCUUUCCCAAUGGUUGUUGCUUGCUUACUAAAGAAAUAUGUAAAUCUUUGAUUUAAGCUUUUAUUAUACAGUGAUUCCAUUCUGCCACUGUGACCAAAAGUAUCUGAUUGCUGAUCAAAUUCUCUAUAUUCGUUUCACCUUUCCCCCACUCUCUGUUAGGUUCUGAGCUCAUGCCCAAAGCACUGUCCACCAGGAUAGUGGGAGGCAUUUGGUGGUUUUUCACACUUAUCAUCAUUUCUUCGUAUACUGCUAACUUAGCCGCCUUUCUGACAGUGGAACGCAUGGAAUCCCCUAUUGACUCUGCUGAUGAUUUAGCUAAACAAACCAAGAUAGAAUAUGGAGCAGUAGAGGAUGGUGCAACCAUGACUUUUUUCAAGAAGAAGAAAAAAAAAGAAUGAGGAGGAAUAAGAAGAGGAGGAGGAAGGAAAGAAGAACAGAAACACAAAAUCUUACUGUGUCAUUACAUGACCUAUGAUUAAUCUCUUCCAUCUUAUUUACAUUUUGGAUAAAUAGGUGACUCUAUUUUCUCAAAGUAAAAAGGAAGAUAUAUUUACUUACUUGCCAAUUAUCUUAUUGAAGUGUUAAAGUUUUAUUUUUCUCUGGAUUAUUUUAAGAUAUACUUACUAUUACUUAAUUCAUUUUAUUGAAAGUUGACAUGGUAAACUAUAUUUCCAGGACUAUAGAAGAUUCAAAGAUGAUAAAAUAUGUAUGGCCUUUUCUUCACAGGCUUUAAAAUCUAAUGACAAUUUCAUAAGCAACCAUAAAUUUGAACAUUUUUGGUAUCUGUAACAAUAUAGUACUUUAUGUAAAUGGUUAUAGCAAGAAUAAUGCCAUAGUUCUAUGAGGAAAGAAAUUUUAAAAUUCCUGAUUCUUCUCCUUUAGAAAUAUGUACAUAUUUAUCUAUCUAUGCAUAGAUACUAUUUCUUGAAAUAUAGUUAAAUCUAUUAUACUUCCAUCAUAUUAGGCUAUAUAUGCAUGCUUCUAUAUAUAUAUAUUAAUAUAUAUGUUAACAUACAGAAUAAAAAUAAAUAUAUAUGUUCUACUAGC